AAAACGAUGUAAUUUUUUGACGGAAAUCGGCAAUCCAAACAAGGCAAAUUUCCCCAAAACUCCAAAACGCAAUCCCUCCUCUUCUCUCCCAAAAAUCAAUGCAAUGCAAUUGGCAGUAACUCCAAAACCCAAUCCAACCAACAACACCUUUUCUAACCCGAACUUUUAUCCAAAUUUCACUUCCCCCAAAACCCAAUCCCUCAAAUUCUCCCCCUCCUCUUCAUCAUCUAACGUUCCCUUUAAUCUAUUCUACAGCUUCAGUCCCAGACGCCGUCGUUUGAGCCCUAUCAUAGCCCGAGCUGCUGCCAAGACUCCCGAUUACUACUCGGUUCUCAGCGUCAGUAAAAAUGCUUCCUUGCAAGACAUCAAAGCUGCCUAUCGCAAACUCGCCCGCAAGUAUCAUCCUGAUGUGAAUAAAAAGCCAGGUGCUGAAGAAAAGUUCAAAGAGAUUAGUGCUGCUUAUGAGGUGUUAUCAGAUGAUGAGAAAAGGUCUGCAUAUGAUCGCUUUGGUGAGGCAGGUUUACGUGGAGAUUUUGUUGGUUCCACUAGUGGUUCGCAAGGAGUGGAUCCUUUCGAAAUCUUUUCUGAAUAUUUUGGUGAGUCGAGCAGUUUCUUCGGAGGAAGUGGUGAACCAGGGGGUUUCAAUUUCAGUUUUAGAAGUAAGAGCCGUCAAGAUCUUGACAUUAGAUAUGACUUGUGUUUGAGUUUUGAGGAAUCAAUUUUUGGAAGUCAGCGAGAAAUUGAAGUACCUUCUUUAGAGACAUGCAAUGAUUGCAGUGGUACAGGUGCAAAAACCAGCAAUAGUAUAAAAAUAUGCAAUGCAUGUGGAGGUAGAGGUGGAGUGGCUAAAACUCAACAAACACCUUUCGGAAUAAUGUCUCAGGUGUCUACAUGUGCAAAAUGUGGGGGUGUUGGUAAGAUAAUCACAGACCAUUGUCGAACAUGUGGUGGCAAUGGUCGGAUACAGUCAAAAAGAAGAAUUAACAUAGUGAUUCCACCUGGUAUUGAUAAUGGAGCAACAAUGCAAGUUCAAGGAGAGGGAAAUAUUGACAACAAAAGGGGCAUAGCUGGUGACCUCUUCAUUGUUCUCCAUAUAGAAGAAAAGCACGGGAUUCAGAGGGACGGUCUCAAUUUGUACUCAAAAGUCAAAGUUGAUUUUACUGAAGCCAUUCUGGGUACUGUUGUCAAGGUCAGAACAGUGGAGGGUAUCAGAGAUCUUCACAUCCCUCCUGGAAUUCAGCCUGGGGAUACAAUAAAGAUGCGGUCCAUGGGAGUUCCGCAUAUAAAAAAGCCCUCUGUACGAGGCGAUCAUUGCUUCUCUGUAAAUAUUCAGAUCCCGAAAGAUAUCAGAUUGUUCGGUAUGCGCCAUUGGAUAUUUGUCUUGACUACUACAAGGUUAUUCUGUAUUUAACAUGCUUCCAUGAUGACACUAGUGAUGCAGAACGCUCACUAGUUGAAGAGUUGGCUUUGCUGAGGCAAACAUCCAGGGACAGCAUUUCAUCCAGUGAGAUACCUGGAGGUGAUGAUCAUGACCAGCAUACAAAGCCUGCUUUAGAUCAUCGGGGCAAAAGUAUGGCCUAUCUGUGGAAGUCAAUUAAGGACUUUUUGGGGAAAAAGCAAUCUGGUAAAAGAUUCGCAUCGGUUGGCAUGGAAGCACCAGUUUCAUGGAGAGUUACUAGUCCCCUGCCACGUUGUUCACUCAUGAUUUACUCUCCUGCAAUUUUCAUCAUGACACUUGUGUUCACCUUGGUGGGAAGAACAGCUUACUGUAAAUUAUUUAGACAAAAGCCAAAAACCAAAAGUACUUCCCCGCACCCUGAAAGAACACAAGGCCAGCGCUAGUUGCAUUUGCCAUUUCUUGCAGUUUGUACCAAACUUGUAUUAAAAGCAUUAGUAGUGGGGCGACUUGUGCAAUUCAACUAUUUUUUUAUCUGUUACUCAAAAGAUGCUUUAGAGUGUAGAUGACUAUUGACUUGACUUAUUGGGUAUAGCCAAGUUUUGGGUCAGGUUGGCGCACUUUGCAGGCAUUAUACCUCGUUGAAAUGUUGUCUCUUUUGAUCAGCAAACUUGUCUAUAAUGCAGUAAUGUAUAGAUUAUCUAUGAGAUGUGGAUUUUGAUUGCA
Coffea arabica (coffee) is the source of this 2122-nucleotide RNA transcript. RefSeq lists it as uncharacterized. The record is from RefSeq and is a predicted model, not a curated record. Lineage: Eukaryota; Viridiplantae; Streptophyta; Magnoliopsida; Gentianales; Rubiaceae.